This 75-nucleotide transfer RNA is filed under the name Pseudomonadota bacterium. RNAcentral's name for it is "tRNA-Pro". It matches the Rfam family "tRNA". Rfam says of the family: Transfer RNA (tRNA) molecules are approximately 80 nucleotides in length. Lineage: Bacteria; Pseudomonadati; Pseudomonadota. RNAcentral also lists the same sequence under 1 other name. The record is from RNAcentral.
CGGAGCGUAGCUCAGCCUGGCUAGAGCGCCUGGUUUGGGUCCAGGAGGUCGCAGGUUCAAAUCCUGUCGCUCCGA